UACAGAGGCCUCGAGCGUUAGGCGGAAUCACUGGGCUUAAAGCGUGUGUAGGCGGACCUCUAAGUGCCUUGUGAAAUCCCACGGCUCACCCGUGGAACUGCUGGGCAUACUGGGAGUCUUGAGCCACCUAGGGGCGAGCGGAACAAAUGGUGGAGCGGUGAAAUGCGUAGAUAUCAUUUGGAACGCCAACGGAGAAAUCAGCUCGCUGGGGGUGUGCUGACGCUGAGACACGAAAGCCAGGGGAGCGAACGGG
RNAcentral lists this ribosomal RNA (253 nucleotides) under uncultured bacterium. Its description in RNAcentral is "partial 16S ribosomal RNA". It matches the Rfam family "Bacterial small subunit ribosomal RNA", at positions 524 to 776 of the family's 1533-position model. The record is from RNAcentral.